This 199-nucleotide long non-coding RNA is filed under the name Vigna radiata. RNAcentral's name for it is "long non-coding RNA (VRAD_LNC004550)". Lineage: Eukaryota; Viridiplantae; Streptophyta; Magnoliopsida; Fabales; Fabaceae. The record is from RNAcentral.
CGAAAAGCAAAUGCAUUUGUUGAUAUGAGUAGCAAAAUCAAUUCCUUUAAGCUACUCUUCAACUGUAUAAUCUCAUAUCUAUACAGUCUCCAGAUCCCUCUCAUGUGUAUGUUCAAUUCGUCCAUGUGUCCCUUCCACUUGAAGCCUGCCAGGAGCCACUCCUUAUCUGUGCUCCUGCACCAUGCCUCCUGCACUGGCG